AUGGGUGCAACCAGCCUGCUGAAGAUCUCACUAAUAAACACAGGGAUAGGGAGCGGCUACUCUUCGGCUAGUAGCAACAAAUAUGCCAGCGUGGAGGGACGUGUAGAAAUCAGAAGAGAUGAUAGCAACAGCAUGAGAGGAGGACAGAGGACAGAGGACACACAGUUUAACAUGAUGGACUAUAGGACAGGACUGCUGCUGCUCACUGUCUGCUGGGCAGGUGUUGAUGGUCAGACUCUGACAGAAUCUGAACCAGUGACUAAAAGGCCUGGAGAAUCUCACAGAUUGACCUGUACAGCCUCUGGAUUCACAUUCAGUAGCUACUGGAUGCACUGGGUCAGACAGGCUCCUGGGAAAGGACUGGAGUGGAUCGCUUUAAUCUACACUGAUGGUAGCACCCAGUUCUACUCUGAGUCAGUGAAAGGCCGGUUCACCAUCUCCAGAGACAACACCAGACAGCAGGUGUAUCUGCAGAUGAGCAGUCUGACGGCUGGAGACUCUGCUGUUUAUUACUGUGCUCGAGACACAGUGACUGAAGCUGGUUGAGCAGCUGUACAAAAA
Trematomus bernacchii (emerald rockcod) is the source of this 561-nucleotide non-coding RNA. Lineage: Eukaryota; Metazoa; Chordata; Actinopteri; Perciformes; Nototheniidae. The record is from the annotation of a RefSeq genome assembly.